AAUUCGAUGCAACGCGAAGAACCUUACCAAGGCUUGACAUGUACGAGAACGCCCCAGAGAUGGGGUUCUCUUUGGACACUCGUACACAGGUGGUGCAUGGUUGUCGUCAGCUCGUGUCGUGAGAUGUUGGGUUAAGUCCCGCAACGAGCGCAACCCUUAUCCUAUGUUGCCAGCGGGUUAUGCCGGGGACUCAUGGGAGACUGCCGGGGUCAACUCGGAGGAAGGU
RNAcentral lists this ribosomal RNA (226 nucleotides) under uncultured bacterium. RNAcentral's name for it is "partial 16S ribosomal RNA". It matches the Rfam family "Bacterial small subunit ribosomal RNA", at positions 948 to 1174 of the family's 1533-position model. The record is from RNAcentral.